Molecule: microRNA precursor, 87 nt
Filed under: Bombyx mori (domestic silkworm)
Lineage: Eukaryota; Metazoa; Arthropoda; Insecta; Lepidoptera; Bombycidae
Description: mir-2807 microRNA precursor family
Rfam family: mir-2807 microRNA precursor family
Source: Rfam by way of RNAcentral
UAAAAGUUAACUUUUUGUAUGCAGUUGCAACAGCGCCCCUAGCGGCAAACGUAGGGAAACGUUCCAACUCCAUACAAAUUUGAGUUA